Molecule: long non-coding RNA, 316 nt
Organism: Oxyura jamaicensis (ruddy duck)
Lineage: Eukaryota; Metazoa; Chordata; Aves; Anseriformes; Anatidae
Exons: 3
Source: RefSeq, a predicted model, not a curated record
AAGAACAAAGUAGCUGCUGUAUCUGCCCCCCAGCACCUGGAUCUGAGACUAGACUUAGCAAACAAUCAGCCUUCCCACUGCAGGCUGAAAGAUGGCAAACCCAACAAAGAUAGAAGUGGCCUGGGUCCGACAUGCACCUCACCAAGGAAAAGCUGUUCUUUAGUGACUGGGGAAGUUCACUGCCAUUUUCACCUUCACAGACUACACCAUAGAUGGAAAUACUGAAAAAUAUGUUUUUCUAAUUAUAUUAGCAAAGGUAUGGCUGUCUCACAGAUGAAAUUGUGUAGUGACAUAUUAAUUAAUUUCUCAUAUUCAG